This 495-nucleotide ribosomal RNA is filed under the name uncultured bacterium. RNAcentral's name for it is "bacterial SSU rRNA". It matches the Rfam family "Bacterial small subunit ribosomal RNA", at positions 28 to 514 of the family's 1533-position model. The record is from RNAcentral.
GACGAACGCUGGCGGCGUGCUUAACACAUGCAAGUCGAACGGUGACGAGGAGCUUGCUCCUCUGAUCAGUGGCGAACGGGUGAGUAACACGUGAGCAACCUGCCCCAGACUCUGGGAUAACAGUUGGAAACAGCUGCUAAUACCGGAUACGAGGCGGAGAGGCAUCUCUACCGUCUGGAAAGUUUUUCGGUCUGGGAUGGACUCGCGGCCUAUCAGCUAGUUGGUGAGGUAAUGGCUCACCAAGGCGACGACGGGUAGCCGGCCUGAGAGGGCGACCGGCCACACUGGGACUGAGACACGGCCCAGACUCCUACGGGAGGCAGCAGGUGGGGAAUUUUGGACAAUGGGCGAAAGCCUGAUCCAGCCAUUCCGCGUGCAGGAUGAAGGCCCUCGGGUUGUAAACUGCUUUUGUACAGAACGAAAAAGCUACUGGCUAAUACCUGGAGUCCAUGACGGUACUGUAAGAAUAAGCACGGCUAACUACGUCGCCAGACG